This 253-nucleotide ribosomal RNA is filed under the name uncultured bacterium. Its description in RNAcentral is "partial 16S ribosomal RNA". It matches the Rfam family "Bacterial small subunit ribosomal RNA", at positions 524 to 776 of the family's 1533-position model. The record is from RNAcentral.
UACGUAGGGUGCGAGCGUUGUCCGGAAUUAUUGGGCGUAAAGGGCUCGUAGGCGGUUUGUCGCGUCGGGAGUGAAAACCUCGGGCUUAACUCGGGGCUUGCUUUCGAUACGGGCAGACUAGAGGUAUGCAGGGGAGAACGGAAUUCCUGGUGUAGCGGUGAAAUGCGCAGAUAUCAGGAGGAACACCGAUGGCGAAGGCAGGUCUCUGGGCAUUAACUGACGCUGAGGAGCGAAAGCAUGGGGAGCGAACAGG